Molecule: ribosomal RNA, 253 nt
Filed under: uncultured bacterium
Lineage: Bacteria
Description: partial 16S ribosomal RNA
Rfam family: Bacterial small subunit ribosomal RNA
Source: RNAcentral
UACGGAGGGGGCUAGCGUUGUUCGGAAUUACUGGGCGUAAAGCGCGCGUAGGCGGACCUGCAAGUCGGGGGUGAAAGCCCGAGGCUCAACCUCGGAACUGCCUUCGAUACUGCGGGUCUCGAGUCCGGGAGAGGUGAGUGGAAUUCCUAGUGUAGAGGUGAAAUUCGUAGAUAUUAGGAAGAACCCCAGUGGCGAAGGCGGCUCACUGGCCCGGUACUGACGCUGAGGCGCGAAAGCGUGGGGAGCAAACAGG